GUGUGUGUGUGUGUGUGUGUGUAUGUGUAUGUGACGUAAUAUUUUUUCCAAUGUAAGUUUUGUGUGAAGAGAGGUAUGUGAAGUAAUAUUUGUUCCAAAGUAAGUUUUUGUGUGGUAUAUCGGUUAUUGAGCACACGAGCAUGCACACCCAUGUCUGAUAUGAUCCAUUAUAAUUACAACCGUUUUGCUACACCACUGAUGGAGUUUUGUUGCUUUUAACCUCCAGUAGCAGAUGUAUUUUUGUGCUAGGGUGUCAGUAGCCGAUAUGUUUUUGUGCUGGGGUGUCAAUAGCCGAUAUGUUUUUGUGCUGAGGUUUUAAUAACCGAUAUGUUUUUGCGCUGAGGUGUCAAGCCGAUAUGUUUUUGUGCUGGACUGUCAAUAGCUGAUGUGUUUUUGUGCUGGGGUGUCAAUAGCCGAUAUGUUUUUGUGCUAGGCUGUCAAUAGGCGAUGUGUUUUUGUGCUGGGGUGUCAAUAGCCGAUAUGUUUUUGUGCUGGGGUGUCAAUAGGCGAUAUGUUUUUGUUCUGGGGUAUCAAUAGCCGAUAUGUUUUUGUGCUAGGCUGUCAAUAGCCGAUACGUUUUUGUGCUGGGCUGUCAAUAGCCGAUGUGUUUUUGUGCUGGGGUGUCAAUAGGCGAUGUGUUUUUGCGCUGGAGUGUUAUUGAACACUCAUUCAUUCUUGUUUCUUACAGCAAUGAUGGCGUUGGCAUCUCUUGGCCAAAUGGGCGGUAUGAGAGGUGGCGGCAUGGGCGGUAUGGGAAGAGGGAUGGGAGGCGGUCUAAUGAACGGCAUGAUGCAAAUGAGAAUGCAGCAAAUGAGAUGCAACUUGAUGAUGGACAUAUUCAAGUAGCAUUGCGCAUGAAAAUCACGUGACAGACUGGCAUUCUGGGAGUGGAUGAUCACGUGAUUUCUUUAAACUGUCACUGUACUUUAUUCUCAUUCCACACAUGUUGUUGCUACUGUUAUUGAUUAUAAUCAAAAUAAAAUAAAAUAUUACAAUUUGUA
Gigantopelta aegis is the source of this 1001-nucleotide long non-coding RNA. RefSeq lists it as uncharacterized. Lineage: Eukaryota; Metazoa; Mollusca; Gastropoda; Neomphalida; Peltospiridae. The record is from RefSeq and is a predicted model, not a curated record. The transcript is spliced from 2 exons.